GAUAUCAACUGAAAAAGUCAUCAUCAACAAAGUUGAAUAACUCAUCAUGAUCUAAAACUUUUAUUUUGGUCAUUUCUUCAUACGACAAAAUGAUAGUAACAUUGUUCACAAAAUUGACAUAUCUCUUAUCUGGUUUUAUAAACUAUAACACAUAUAUGUAAAAUUUGUGAAUAAUAUUACUAAUAUUUCAUCGGAUGAAGAAAUAACCAAAAUAAAAGUUUUAGAUCUUGAUGAGUUAUUCAACUUUGUUGUUGAUGACUUUUUCAAUUGAAAUC
Molecule: microRNA precursor, 275 nt
Organism: Oryza sativa Indica Group (long-grained rice)
Lineage: Eukaryota; Viridiplantae; Streptophyta; Magnoliopsida; Poales; Poaceae
Rfam family: MIR821 microRNA precursor family
Source: Rfam